RNAcentral lists this ribosomal RNA (497 nucleotides) under uncultured bacterium. RNAcentral describes it as "partial 16S ribosomal RNA". It matches the Rfam family "Bacterial small subunit ribosomal RNA", at positions 28 to 507 of the family's 1533-position model. The record is from RNAcentral.
GAUGAACGCUGGCGGCGUGCCUAAUACAUGCAAGUCGAGCGAACAGACGAGGAGCUUGCUCCUCUGACGUUAGCGGCGGACGGGUGAGUAACACGUGGAUAACCUACCUAUAAGACUGGGAUAACUUCGGGAAACCGGAGCUAAUACCGGAUAAUAUAUUGAACCGCAUGGUUCAAUAGUGAAAGACGGUUUUGCUGUCACUUAUAGAUGGAUCCGCGCCGCAUUAGCUAGUUGGUAAGGUAACGGCUUACCAAGGCAACGAUGCGUAGCCGACCUGAGAGGGUGAGCGGCCACACUGGAACUGAGACACGGUCCAGACUCCUACGGGAGGCAGCAGUAGGGAAUCUUCCGCAAUGGGCGAAAGCCUGACGGAGCAACGCCGCGUGAGUGAUGAAGGUCUUCGGAUCGUAAAACUCUGUUAUUAGGGAAGAACAAAUGUGUAAGUAACUAUGCACGUCUCGACGGUACCUAAUCAGAAAGCCACGGCUAACUACGUG